This 75-nucleotide transfer RNA is filed under the name Candidatus Woykebacteria bacterium RBG_13_40_7b. RNAcentral's name for it is "tRNA-Met". It matches the Rfam family "tRNA". Rfam says of the family: Transfer RNA (tRNA) molecules are approximately 80 nucleotides in length. Their secondary structure includes four short double-helical elements and three loops (D, anti-codon, and T loops). Lineage: Bacteria; Candidatus Woykeibacteriota. The record is from RNAcentral.
GGCUAUGUAGCUCAGUGGUAGAGCGGGGCCCUCAUAAAGCCUAGGUCGCAGGUUCGAAUCCUGCCGUAGCCACCA